This 325-nucleotide long non-coding RNA is filed under the name Prunus persica (peach). RNAcentral's name for it is "long non-coding RNA (PPER_LNC000624)". Lineage: Eukaryota; Viridiplantae; Streptophyta; Magnoliopsida; Rosales; Rosaceae. The record is from RNAcentral.
UUUUCUUAGGUAAUUGUUUGAUUGCCUCAAUACGUUGUCACGCUGUGUAAGUUGGCAUCAUAGUAGGUAUGACCGGCUUGGUGUUUGGACGAUAUGGAGGUGAUAUGACCCAUGGUAUCGGGGAGAUAGUUACUUGUGUAGAAAAUUUACAUCCCUAGAUGAGCAGGUUACGGCCAUUAGUGUGUUGCCAGAGAACAUGAAUAACACAAACAUGUAGCCACCUAAUGGGGGAUUUAAUCUUAAUUGAGGGGGUCAUAAUAGACACCCAAAUGCUGAUAGUAGGCUUAUUCAGAAGAAGAGAUCCCGGAGGAGGAAGUUGUAUCAC